Molecule: ribosomal RNA, 253 nt
Filed under: uncultured bacterium
Lineage: Bacteria
Description: partial 16S ribosomal RNA
Rfam family: Bacterial small subunit ribosomal RNA
Source: RNAcentral
UACGAAGGGGGCGAGCGUUGUUCGGAUUUACUGGGCGUAAAGGGCGCGCAGGCGGCUUUGUUUGUCAGGCGUGAAAGCCCCGGGCUUAACCUGGGAACUGCGUUUGAUACGGCAGGGCUAGAGUUCGGGAGAGGAGAGUGGAAUUCCCAGUGUAGAGGUGAAAUUCGUAGAUAUUGGGAAGAACACCGGUGGCGAAGGCGGCUCACUGGCCCGAUACUGUCGCUGAGGCACGAAAGCGUGGGGAGCAAACAGG